CCUCCAUAAAGUACGCUAAGAAAUAAACAACAUCGACCGUGACCCCAGGAUUGCCAGCCUCAGGAAAGAAAAAGGAAGGAGACGAGCACACACGCCAGAGGCCAACUCCUCACACCCAGCAGCUUAGAAGUAAACAGUGAGAAUAGAAAAAUUCACAGAAAUAAAAGCCGAGACUCUGACCUACGCCACGUGUCUCUAAGAGCGAGAGGAAUGCCGCCAGCAUGCCACAUGGGAUCCAGAGCUGGGAAACCACCAUGGAAAGGAUUGAAUGUAGGAGAAAAAGCCCCUACAGAAAAGUGGAGGGGAGCCUGGAUGUAGGAUGGGGGCUUGUCCAGUUCUUCAUGAGAAGGGGGUUGGGGCACUUGACCGACCCCGGCAGGGACAAAUCGCACUAGUCAGAGGGAGGAAGGAGCAAGACGGGGUGGUUACCAGUGAUCAGCAACCGUCAGCAAGGGAAAGACUUUUCUGCCUAUCGGAAGCCGUUUGAUGACACCCAUCCGUACUCUGGUUCGUGCAGCAGUUUCGAGAUCACUCCGACUCGACCCAACCCGAGCUGCGGCAUGGCUUGGAAAGCAAGCAGCUUUGCAAAUGAAGAAUCAGCCACUCGGCCAGAAGUGGCUUUAGCUUGGAAGAGACUUCACCAAGCCAAGGACGUGGUAAGUGAGGUUUGCAACAAGCUCUCAAAUA
This is a long non-coding RNA of Gavialis gangeticus (Gharial), 687 nucleotides long. RefSeq lists it as uncharacterized. Lineage: Eukaryota; Metazoa; Chordata; Crocodylia; Gavialidae. The transcript has 4 exons. The record is from RefSeq and is a predicted model, not a curated record.